CUACGGGGUGCUCCAGUGAGGAAUAUUGCACAAUGGGGGGAACCCUGAUGCAGCAACGCCGCGUGGAGGAUGACGCAUUUCGGUGUGUAAACUCCUUUUAUAUGUCAAGAAAAUGACGGUAGCAUAUGAAUAAGCACCGGCUAACUCCGUGCCAGCAGCCGCGGUAAUACGGAGGGUGCAGGCGUUACUCGGAAUCACUGGGCGUAAAGGACGCGUAGGCGGGUUGGAAAGUCAGGUGUGAAAUCCUACAGCCUAACUGUAGAACUGCACUUGAAACUUCUAAUCUAGAGUAUGGGAGGGGGAGAUGGAAUUAGUGGUGUAGGGGUAAAAUCCGUAGAUAUCACUAGGAAUACCUAAAGCGAAGGCGAUCUCCUGGAACAUUACUGACGCUAAGGCGUGAAAGCGUGGGGAGCAAACAGGAUUAGAUACCCGAGUAGUC
RNAcentral lists this ribosomal RNA (439 nucleotides) under uncultured bacterium. RNAcentral describes it as "partial 16S ribosomal RNA". It matches the Rfam family "Bacterial small subunit ribosomal RNA", at positions 339 to 795 of the family's 1533-position model. The record is from RNAcentral.